UACCAGCUCUCCGAGUUGUAGGGAUGAUUAAUUGGGCUUAAAGCGUCCGUAGCUGGCUUAGCAAGUCUCCUGUUAAAUUCAGCGAUCUAAUCGUUGAGCCGCGGGAGAUACUACUAGGCUAGGAGGCGGGAGAGGUCGACGGUACUUUCGGGGUAGGGUGAAAUCCUAUAAUCCCGGGAGGACCACCAGUGGCGAAGGCUGUUGACUAGAACGCGCUCGACGGUGAGGGACGAAAGCUGGGGGAGCGAACCGGAUUAGAUACCCGGGUAGUCCCAGCUGUAAACGAUGCGAGCUAGGUGUUGGGGUGGCUACGUGCCACUUCAGUGACCGCAGGGAAGCCAUUAAGCUCGCCGCCUGGGGAGUACGGCCGCAAGGCUGAAACUUAAAGGAAUUGGCGGGGAGCGACCACAAGGCGUGAAGCUUGCGGUUC
Molecule: ribosomal RNA, 430 nt
Filed under: uncultured archaeon
Lineage: Archaea
Description: bacterial SSU rRNA
Rfam family: Archaeal small subunit ribosomal RNA
Source: RNAcentral